GAUCAUGGCUCAGGAUGAACGCUAGCGACAGGCUAACACAUGCAAGUCGAGGGGCAGCAUAAAAGUAGCAAUACUUGGUGGCGACCGGCGCACGGGUGAGUAACGCGUAUGCAACCUACCUAUCAGAGGGGAAUAACCCGGCGAAAGUCGGACUAAUACCGCAUAAAACAGGGACACCGCAUGGUGAUAUUUGUUAAAGAAAUUCGCUGAUAGAUGGGCAUGCGUUCCAUUAGGUAGUUGGUGAGGUAACGGCUCACCAAGCCGACGAUGGAUAGGGGAACUGAGAGGUUGGUCCCCCACACUGGUACUGAGACACGGACCAGACUCCUACGGGAGGCAGCAGUGAGGAAUAUUGGUCAAUGGGCGGGAGCCUGAACCAGCCAAGUCGCGUGAAGGAAGAAGGAUCUAUGGUUCGUAAACUUCUUUUGCAGGGGAAUAAAGUGCAGGACGUGUCCUGUUUUGUAUGUACCCUGAGAAUAAGGAUCGGCUAACUCCGUGCCAGCCGCCGC
This 509-nucleotide ribosomal RNA is filed under the name uncultured bacterium. RNAcentral's name for it is "bacterial SSU rRNA". It matches the Rfam family "Bacterial small subunit ribosomal RNA", at positions 15 to 518 of the family's 1533-position model. The record is from RNAcentral.